RNAcentral lists this long non-coding RNA (1945 nucleotides) under Sus scrofa (pig). RNAcentral's name for it is "lncRNA (ENSSSCG00000060142.1)". The record is from RNAcentral. Lineage: Eukaryota; Metazoa; Chordata; Mammalia; Artiodactyla; Suidae.
CAAUGGGUCACAAAGUGGGUCGCAGGUGUAGACAAGUCUUUCCUUCAUCUUUGGGGGGUGAUGGAAAGAAGAGAAGUAGGAUUGAAAAAAGUGUUUUAUGACAUGGGAGCCCCAGGUCUGCUGUAGGCCCAGGGGACAGAGCCAGUAGAAAAGGAAGAAUCACACAUGAGCAGCUCUGGGAAGGAAGGCCUUGUAGCACCUCAUCUAUCUGGAACCUAGUGAACCAGCCACCUCCACUAUCCAGAAUACAACCAAACAAGAAAGAAGCAAACAUGGUCUCAACAGCCUAAAUCAGUACUGUUAUAUUUUUUAAUUAAGUUCACAGGUUUCAAGUAAAAGAAAACUCUGAUUCUUUUGCAAAACCGAAUCAGUCUUGGUCUCCUCUAGGUCCAAGAUGGAGAAAUGUUUCUCCUGGGCUCCAGUCUGACGGUAGGAAACCUACCCACAUAUACACGUGAUAAAAAGUUAAAUUCCCAUUUAAUUAACUGAGGAUACGCAAUCCCACAGGACAUUAGGAGGCCACAGAGCAGGAACAGAUGGAGCAUAUUUCCUCUACCCAGGGUCCUUGGGGACAGAGUUGGGAUAGGGACAAGAAGAUAAAACUGACACCGUCUGUUGGGAGUAAGGUUUUUCUACCUGGAAAAGGAAUUCUAGCUAAAAUCCUGUUCUCAUGCUAGGCGUUAAAUCCCCACUCUACACUGACACCACUUGUCAUUCUAUUUAAUGGAAGGUUUACAAAUACAGGUUCUCCUGGUCCUUGAACCAUUCUCAGCAUCAGCAGGACACAUCAGUGUGUAGUCAAUGCCCAGGUAUCCUCACAUAAUAGCUGUGCCUGCAGUUCUUCAAUGCCCCAGAAAGUUCAUUUCCCCUCUGGGCCACAGAUCCUCUAGUACCUCCUACAUCCCUUCCCCACCCAUCUGCAUCCUGCCCUGUGCCCCAAGAGGGGCAUCUCUAGGAACUGCAUCAAGGGGAUCUACCUUACCUUGCAGGUUCCAGUUGUAGUUAGCCAAUAAGAAGCACUGGAAGGACACUGGGCUAUAGGAGGUAAGUGAGGUCUGGGUUUAUUCUCACGCCUCCCUCCCAGCAGGGUCUUUGUAAGUUAGCUGCAGCCUCCCACCCAGCAGUUAGAUCGAGACCCUGGUAGCUGCUCCCCCUGUUUGUUCCUCGAACCUAGAGGUUAUAAUGGCUCCCACUGUUGUAACUCAGGGUUAGCAACACAGGGUGUGGCCAGGUACAGCUUACUUAAACCCUAUUUAACCUCUGUAAAUAGAGUAUUAAACUCUCUUCAAAUCACCUAGUUCGAGGUGCCAUUUAUUUCUUGCAGGACCUGACUGCUACCACCAUCCCAUGGCAGAUAGGUUUCAGCUCCCAGGCUGAUUCUGUCGAUUGGAAGGAGCUACUUGGAGCAUUUUUUGUGAAAUAUCCUAAGACCUCAUCCAGGGGUUUGGUGAUUGGUGGGUUGUGAUUGACUGGGUGCGUGAUGGAGAAGAGUCAUUCUCACACCAAGUGCUGGCAAUCCCUCUUCUAGUUUUUAACCAUCAUCCCAUGCCCAGAUUCUUGGAAGAUUUAAAACCAAGCAGAGGGAGAUUUGUUACAAGUGGGCAGUCUGACAACAGGACAGAAUUGUGGUUGACAGACUAGCAGAGAGGAGCCUGAAAGGAAAGCUUAAAAAGAAAGUGAACACACAAGAAAACAGAAGCCACACCGUGCUGGGAGGGAUUUCCCAUUGUGGCACAGUGGAAACAAAUCCAACUGGGAACCAUGAGAUUGUGGGUUCGAUCCCUGCCCUCGCUCAGUGGGUUAAGGAUCCAGCAUUGUCGUAAGCUGUGAUGUAGGUGGUAGACACGACUCGGAUCCUGAGUUGCUGUGGCUAUGGUGUAGGCUGGCAGCUGUAGCUCCGAUUUGACCCCUAGCCUAGGAAUCUCCAUAUGCUGUGGGUUCAGCC